Molecule: ribosomal RNA, 433 nt
Filed under: uncultured bacterium
Lineage: Bacteria
Description: partial 16S ribosomal RNA
Rfam family: Bacterial small subunit ribosomal RNA
Source: RNAcentral
AACGAACGCUGGCGGCAUGCCUAACACAUGCAAGUCGAACGAAACCUUCGGGUCUAGUGGCGCACGGGUGCGUAACGCGUCGGAACCUGCCCUUAGGUUCGGAAUAACUCCCCGAAAGGGGUGAUAAUACCGGAUAAUGUCUACGGACCAAAGAUUUAUCGCCUUUGGUUGGGCCCGCGUUGGAUUAGCUAGUUGGUAGGGUAAAAGACUACUAAGGCGACGAUUCAUAGCUGGUUUGAGAGGAUGAUCAGCAACACUGGGACUGAGACACGGCCCAGACUCCUACGGGAGGCAGCAGUGGGGAAUAUUGGACAGUGGGCGAAAGCCUGAUGCAGCAAGGCCGCGUGAGUGAUGAAGGCCUUAGGGUUGUAAAGCUCUUUUACCCGGGAAGAUAAUGACGGUACCGGGAGAAUAAGCCCCGGCUAACUCCGUG